Long non-coding RNA from Culex pipiens pallens (northern house mosquito), 3161 nucleotides. RefSeq lists it as uncharacterized. The transcript has 2 exons. The record is from RefSeq and is a predicted model, not a curated record. Lineage: Eukaryota; Metazoa; Arthropoda; Insecta; Diptera; Culicidae.
GACUAAUCGAGUAAGUGGCAUUCGGGAUUGUGGCCUAUUCGGGAAAAUGACUUACGGGGAUGUGGACGAUUAGGGGAAAUGGGAAAUUCGGGUAAAUGGAAUUCAGGGAAAUGACUUUUAGGGGAAGUGUCUUUUCGGGGAAGUGGCAUUCGGGGAAAUGUCCCUUCGGUAAUAUGGGUUUCGGGGAAAUGUCAUAGAUUCUCUAUAAGACCUCUCCUACAAUUUUGUUGGACAUUGUUUGCUUCUUAGAGCAUAAGUUUUGGAAUUAUUUUCAAAGUACUGCAAAUAUUUUAUAUUUGCACAAAAGCAUCUCACACGAGCAGUCGCGCCGGUGUACUUUGUACACACAUCCAAAAAUUUAUUUUUCAAAAAAUCAUUAAAAAUAGGUUUUACUCCAGAAAUUUGACUUUUCAUAUGUUUUCUUAUAGAAAAAUGUGUAACUUGAGCAUACACCUGGGUUUCACGCAUUUUGAAUAAAGAAAACACAUUGUUUUUCAACAAUUUUCAAAAGUUGUGUACAAAGUACACUAGCGCGACCUCCCGAAGGUUAAUGGCCUAACAACAACCAAGGCCGGGACCGACAUUUUACUUCCUCAUCCGAUGGAAGGUUGGAGCAGAUGGGAAUCGAACCCACGCACUGCCAGGUCAUUUAUCUAACAUCCGGAUAUAUGCGAACACAAUUUUGUAUACAUAACUUUUGAACUAUUUAUCGAAACUUAUAUUUUGUUGAAACUCGAUCUAUGGGACCCUAAACCAAGUCAAAUGCCCGGUUUGGUCUAAAUCGGUUCAGCCAGUGCUGAAAAAACUGAGUGACAAUUUUGGUAACACAACACACAGUGGAUUUUGGAUAAUCCAUUAUUAGUCAAAAGUUACAGCCAUCUAAUGAUAAAAAAAAUCUGAUUCAAAAAACUUCAACUACAGGUACUUGUGAAAUCUCAUGGGUGAGGUAAAAAUACUCGUAAUAAAUUAUCAAUAUUAAAAAAAAGCGAUCAAGUGAAGACUGUUUUCAAUAGAACUUUGUUUAAACAAUUUCAAAUAAGAAAUCAUCCUUAGUCCGUAGUACUUGUUUGAACACAGUUUUGUUGAACAAAGCCUCUGACGGGUGGUCUUAUUGUCAAUUUCAAAAACCAAACAUUUGUUCAAUGAAAAAUAACCGUAAUAUUUUUGUCAAAUUAGGCCUAAUAUUUGAAUAAAAAUAACUUAAAUCUUUUAAGCUGGACCUCUUCAUUAGCACAAACUGGCUUUGAAAAUCGAAUUUGAAAACAUUUAAAGCACUGACCUAUAACAAAAUCAAUUACAUAUUUAAACAAGAAUGUCUAGUCUGCAAACUAUUAUUGCUAGCGGUUCAAACCUGCCAACCUUUUUGCGGGGCCAGGUCACCUUUGCUUGUAUUGUCAAACACCAACACUUUUAUGCAAAUGUUAGCUUAGGACGAACACUCUCGGGUGUAUUCGUUGUAUUUGAGAGUCGGCCUUUUUCCAUGAAUCUGCUACGGUGCGUGCCUCGACUCACCCACUUCCGUUGCCGAUUUUCAUAGUUUUGCUUUUAUUUUUCUAAACCAGAAUCAACCGAAUUCGAAGGAUGAAAGGGCGAACUAGUCUAAACGAAAAACACAGUUGUUUGUGUUGGUGUUUCUAUGUUUGCACAAUGCUGCUGGCAAACACACACAUUUUUCAGAUUUAUAUAUUUAUAUACAAGCAACACCUCCUGUGAAUUUCAAAAAUUGAAUGCAGAUAUUUUGAGAAACCUUGCGCAUCAUCAGUAUUUAGUAGGGAGAGCAACUAAUUGAAAAUCAGUGAGACAAGAUUAUUUGUAAUUAGAGCAAAUUAAGAACAAAAAAAGUGUGUUCAACAGAUCCUAGGGCAAAAAAGGAAAAAACAAAACUGUUGUUAGUAGAGCAAAUCUAGUAUUAAGAGUUAGUCUAACCAAUGUAGAGAAAAAGCAACAAGAUAUUCCUUUACACCAGAAAGCAACAAAGAAAACGUUCCCAACAUGAAUGGAGUUAGAAAUGUUGUUCUGUUCUAUGGCAUAAUACGGGUGAGCUACACAUAAUAUCAAAUGUGAAGUGUGUGUUCUGCGAAACAAGAAGACAUAAUCAAACUGAUAUGAUUUCAAACAGUAGCUGUAAUACAACCUAGCAAUGUACAUAACUUGAGUUCUAACAACAAAAUCAAGAGCAAGAAAAUAAAUGCACCAAAUCAUGCUUGAAAAACUCAAACACACACUGAAUGUCGAGAUGAGUGUAAGUGUACCCGAGCAAAGAAAUCAUAAGCAAAUAUGGAGAACCUACCUAUGUUUUGUAAUAUAUUUACGACGAAAAAGUAGCACCAAAUUCUCCAAACAACACGUUGGAUGUAGCAAUAGCAAAUAACAAAGAGGAAAAAAAGUUGUUAACCCAGACACUUGUUUGAAAAUAUAUACAUAUUAAUGUUGACAGGAUGUGUCUGAGAGGGGCAAGGAGCAACCGAAAAUCUCACUAAAAUACUAGUCGUGCUAGCUUAGUUAUCAAAUGAAACAAACACACACACACAAAAGAUAUCACUAUCAAAAUGUUGGAUUGACGUGGUUGGAUGGAAUUGCCGAAGUGAGAUGUUUUACUGUGGGUAGGAACUGUUUUCGGUUAUUGAAAGAGACUUUAUACAAUUGUUUGAUUUUGUUUGGAAGCAAGCUUCCAGGAAUAUUUUUACCGUUGUUGGUGGCUUUAUUGGAUGUACAUAGUGAACGAUUUUAUUAUUGAAAAUAAAGCAAUACAUUCACUACUUUUUGUAAAUUUCCUAUGUUUUAUUUGAAUUCACCUAAAUAACUUAAUCGUGAAUGAUUUCUGUUUAAAACCACUGUAGAAACUAUAAGUUGAAAUAUCAAAAAACACCAAAAAACAUUAAUGAGAAUCGUAUCUUAAACACAUAAAAAUAGAAUCAAAAUGACAAUCCAAAAAGGGUUAGCUUUAUUUCCUUUCAUUUUAGAGCACGCACACCAGCAAGGGAACUGAAAUAAAAGAAUGUCGCUUGUGCGCUAUCUUGUGAUACUUCCGAGUAGAUGUGUCACAAGUUAGUAUGCUUACUUUAUGUCUACAUAUUUAUUUCAAAACUACUAGAGUUUAUUUUUUCUCUAUUUGGCUGUUUUCCCAUUUCUGAACGCAAUAAAGAAACUGAUGAAUUCAA